AACGGUCUAUACCUGCGGUACCUGCGGAGGGAUCAUUACUGAAUUGAUUUUGGGGAUGUUGCUGGUCUCUUGAGGCAAUGGUGCACUCCCUCAAACAUUUCACAAUUUCCAUCUUACCCAUGUGCACAUCCUGUAGGUGGUCUCCCAACCCACCCUCCAAGGAAAGGGGGGGAGUGUGUGGGUCUGGUCUCCUAUGUAUUUCCUUGCCAACAUCACACGUUUUGACUGGAUGAAUCCUGU
This 240-nucleotide unclassified non-coding RNA is filed under the name soil metagenome. Its description in RNAcentral is "partial contains 5.8S ribosomal RNA, internal transcribed spacer 2, and large subunit ribosomal RNA". The record is from RNAcentral.